This 301-nucleotide ribosomal RNA is filed under the name uncultured bacterium. RNAcentral describes it as "partial 16S ribosomal RNA". It matches the Rfam family "Bacterial small subunit ribosomal RNA", at positions 509 to 807 of the family's 1533-position model. The record is from RNAcentral.
CAGUCGCCGCGGUAAUACGUGGGUAGCAAGCGUUGUCCGGAAUUAUUGGGCGUAAAGGGCUCGCAGGCGGUUUCUUAAGUCUGAUGUGAGAGCCCCCGGCUCAACCGGGGAGGGUCAUUGGAAACUGGGAAACUUGAGUGCGGAAGAGGAGAGUGGAAUUCCACGUGUAGCGAUGAAAUGCGUAGAGAUGUGGAGGAACACCAGUGGCGGAGGCGACUCUCUGGUCUGUAACUGACGCUGAGGAGCGAAAGCGUGGGGAGCGAACAGGAUUAGAUACCCGCGUAGUCCCUGUCUCUUAUAC